Molecule: vault RNA, 125 nt
Filed under: Vombatus ursinus (common wombat)
Lineage: Eukaryota; Metazoa; Chordata; Mammalia; Diprotodontia; Vombatidae
Description: Vault RNA (ENSVURG00010016557.1)
Rfam family: Vault RNA
About the family: This family of RNAs are found as part of the enigmatic vault ribonucleoprotein complex. The complex consists of a major vault protein (MVP), two minor vault proteins (VPARP and TEP1), and several small untranslated RNA molecules. It has been suggested that the vault complex is involved in drug resistance.
Source: Rfam by way of RNAcentral
GGGCCAGCUUUAGCUCAGCGGUUCCUUCGGCUUCAUUUCGUAAACCAGACUUUCGACUGUGUUUGAUCGUCAGGGGUUCGAACCCCGCGUCGAUCCGAGACCCGCGGGCGCUUCCUGGCCCUUUU